UACGGAGAGUGCAAACGUUGUUCGGAUUCACUGGGCGUAAAGGGCACGUAGGCGGCUCGGCAAAUCAGUCGUGGAAUCCCGACGCUUACCGUCGGAACGGCGGCUGAAAAUACCGGGCUUGAGGGCGUGAGGGGUCACUGGAACUCCUGGUGAAGCGGUGAAAUGCGUAGAUAUCAGGAGGAACGCCGGAGGCGAAAGCGAGUGACUGGCGCGUUCCUGACGCUGAGGUGCGAAAGCUAGGGGAGCAAACAGG
RNAcentral lists this ribosomal RNA (253 nucleotides) under uncultured bacterium. RNAcentral describes it as "partial 16S ribosomal RNA". It matches the Rfam family "Bacterial small subunit ribosomal RNA", at positions 524 to 776 of the family's 1533-position model. The record is from RNAcentral.